RNAcentral lists this ribosomal RNA (429 nucleotides) under Chloroflexota bacterium. RNAcentral describes it as "Chloroflexi bacterium partial 16S ribosomal RNA". It matches the Rfam family "Bacterial small subunit ribosomal RNA", at positions 355 to 776 of the family's 1533-position model. Lineage: Bacteria; Bacillati; Chloroflexota. The record is from RNAcentral.
UGGGGAAUAUUGCACAAUGGGCGCAAGCCUGAUGCAGCCAUGCCGCGUGUAUGAAGAAGGCCUUCGGGUUGUAAAGUACUUUCAGGCGGGAGGAAGGUGGUAAGGUUAAUAACCUUAUCAAUUGACGUUACCGACAGAAGAAGCACCGGCUAACUCCGUGCCAGCAGCCGCGGUAAUACGGAGGGUGCAAGCGUUAAUCGGAAUUACUGGGCGUAAAGCGCACGCAGGCGGUUGAUUGAGUCAGAUGUGAAAUCCCCGGGCUUAACCCGGGAAUUGCAUCUGAUACUGGUCAGCUAGAGUCUUGUAGAGGGGGGUAGAAGUCCAUGUGUAGCGGUGAAAUGCGUAGAGAUGUGGAGGAAUACCGGUGGCGAAGGCGGCCCCCUGGACAAAGACUGACGCUCAGGUGCGAAAGCGUGGGGAGCAAACAGG